AAUGUGCCCACAGCAAUUUUUUGGUAAAAGGGAACAUUAAUGUGAAAUCAUCUUCCUUCAUCUCCAAACAAAGUUUUAACAUCCUAUUAUGAAGCUGUUGUGGUGUUAAUCAAGAAUUGUAAGAUAAAAUAAUGAAGAUAUUACAAAAAGUCUUAAAAACCUGAUGAGAUGUCUAUUUCUUGUCUCAAACAACAAUUAAAUUGGUUAUUGCAGAAUAUUGAUAUUUGGUCUAUUGCAUAGUAAACUUUUUAGGUAAAAUUGGUAAUCAUUAUACAAAAGAUAAGUUGUUAAAAAUUGCUUCUAUGCAUGCUUUUGUAUUUCCUGUAAAUUUAUGCAUGCAUCCCUUAAGAAUACCUCUACUGUAUUUAUAAACAGCCUUUCUAUAGGAGAGAAGCAUAUGUGAUUGUAUCACAUGUUUAUUCUUUCGAGUUUCCUCCUUCUUCAGCACAGAUAAUUGAAUAGUAUGCUGUAGCCAGUGUUUUGAAAUCUUGAAAAAUCAAGCAGGAUAUUAUAAAACCGUAAAGGAAAAGAUGGAAAGAUCUCCCAUGCUCGUGGAUUGGCAGAAUUAAUAGUCAAAAUGGCUAUCCUGCCGAAAGCAAUCUACAGAUUCAAUGCAAUCCCCAUCAAAAUUCUAACUCAAUUCUUCACUGAGUUAGAAAGGGCAAUUUGCAAAUUCAUCUAGAAUAACAAAAAACCUAGCAUAGCAAAAAGUGUUCUCAACAAUAAAAGAACCUCUGGGGGAAUCACCAUGCCUGACCUCAAGCUGUACUUACAGAGCAAUUGUGAUAAAAAACUGCAUGGUACUGGUACAAUGACAGACAGGUUAAUCAAUGGAAUAGAAUUGAAGACCCAGAAAUGAACCCACACAUGUAUGGUUACUUGAUCUUUGACAAGGGAGCUAAAACCAUCCAGUGGAAAAACAGACAGCAUUUUCUUUUUUUUUAAACACAUUUUUAUUAGAUAUUUUCUUUAUAUACAUUUCAAAUUUCAAAUGCUAUCCCGAAAGUUCCCUAUACACCCCCCCCCCCCCGCUCCCCUACCCACCCACUCCCACUUCUUGGCCCUGGAAUUUCACUGUACUGGGGCAUAUAAAGUUUGCAAGACCAAGGGGCCUCUCUUCCCAGUGAUGGCUGACUAGGCCAUCUUCUGCUACAUAUGCAGCUAAAGACACGAGUUCUGGGUGUACUGGUUAGUUCAUAUUGUUGUUCCACCUAUAGGGUUGCAGACCCCUUCAGCUUCUUGGGUGCUUUCUCUAGCUCCUCCAUUGGAGGCCCUGUGUUCCAUCUUAUAGAUGACUGUGAACAUCCACUUCUGUAUUUGCCAGGCACUGGCAUAGCUUCAUAUGAGACAGCUAUACCAGGGUCCCUUCUUCAAAAUCUUGCUGGCAUAUGCAAUAGUAAGACAGCAUUUUCAACAAAUGGUGCUGGCACAACUGGCAGUUAUCAUGUAGAAGAAUAUGAAUCGAUCCAUUCUUAUCUCCUUGUACAAGCUCAGGUCUAAGUGGAUCAAAAAACUCCACAUAAAACCAGAGACACUGAAACUUAUAGAGGAGAAAAUGGGGGAAAGCCUCAAAGAUAUGGGCACAGGGGAAAAAUUCCUAAACAUAACAGCAAUGGCUUGGGCUGUAAGAUCAAGAAUCAACAAAUGGGACCUCAUAAAAAUUGCAAAGCUUCUGUAAGGCAAAAGAUACUGUCAAUAAGACAAAAAGGUCACCAACAGAUUGGGAAAGGAUUUUUACCAAUCCUAAAUCUGAUAAGGGACUAAUAUCCAAUAUAUACAAAGAGCUCAAGAAGCUGAACUCCAGAAAUUCAAAUAACCCCAUUGAAAAAUAGGGUACAGAGCUAAACAAAGAAUUCUCAACUGAGGAAUACCGAAGGGCUGAGAAGCACCUGAAAAAAUGUUCAACAUCCUUAAUCAUCAGAGAAAUGCAACUCAAAACAACCCUGAGAUUCCACCUCACACCAGUCAGAAUGGCUAAGAUCAAAAAUUCAGGUGACAGCAGAUGCUGGCUAGGAUGUUGAGAAAGAGGAACACCCCUCCAUUGUUGGUGGGAUUGCAAGCUGGUACAACCACUCUGGAAAUCAGUCUGGCGGUUCCUCAGAAAACUGGACACAGUACUACCAGAAGAUCCAGCAAUACCUCUUCUGGGCAUAUACCCAGAAGAUGUUCCAACUGGUAAUAAGGACACAUGCUCCACUAUGUUCAUAGCAGCCUUAUUUAUAAUAGCCAGAAGCUGGAAAGAACCCAGAUGUCCCUCAACAGAAGAAUGGAUACAGAAAAUGUGGUACAUUUACACAAUGGAGUACUACUCAGCUAUUAAAAACAAUGAAUUUAUGAAAUUCUUAGGCAAAUGGAUGUAUCUGGAGGAUAUCAUCCUGAUUGAGGUAACCCAAUCACAAAAGAAGUCAUUUGAUAUGCACUCACUCAUAAGUGGAUUUAGCCCAGAAACUUAGAAUACCCACGAUACAAUUUGCAAAACACAAGAAAGUCAAAAAGAAGGAAGACCAACACGUGGACACUUCAUUCCUCCUUAGAAUAGGGAACAAAAUAACCAUGGAAGGAGUUACAGAGACAAAGUUUGGAGCUAAGACGAAAGGAUGGACCGUCCAGAGACUGCCCCACCCAGGGAUCCAUCCCAUAAUCAGCCACGAAAUGCAGACACUAUUGCAUAUGCCAGCAAAAUUUUGCUGAAAGGACCCUGAUAUAGCUGUCUCUUUUGAGGCUAUGCCAGUGCCUGGCAAAUACAGAAGUGGAUGCUCACAGUCAUCUAUUGGAUGGAACACAGGGCCCCCAAUGGAGGAGCUAGAGAAAGUACCCAAGGAGUUGAAGGGGUCUGCAACCCUAUAGGUAGAACAACAAUAGGAACUAACCAGUACCCCCAGAGCUCAUGUCUCUAGCUGCAUAUGUAGCAGAAGAUGGCCUAGUCGGCCAUCAUUGGGAAGAGAGGUCCUUUGGUCUUGCAAACUUUAUAUGCCCCAGUACAGGGGAACACCAGGGCCAAGAAGUAGGAGUGGGUGGGGAAGGAAGCAGGGUGGGGGUGGGGAGUAUAGGGGACUUUUGGGAUAGCAUUUGAAAUGUAAAUGAAGAAAAUAUCUAAUAAAAAAUUGAAAAAAUAAAAUAAAAUCAUAAAGGAUAUUAUAAAAUAGUAGUAGAUUUGAAAGAUUGUUUCUUUACUAUUCUUUUGCAUCCUCAGGAUUGUGAAAGAUUUCCUUUCAGUGUUCUUUAUAUUAAUUUUAAAGAGCCAAUGAAAAGGUAUCAAUGGAUAGUUCUUUCUCAAGGCAUGGCUAACAGUCCUACAUUAUGUCAAAAAUUUGUGGCACAAGCCAUUCAGCCUAAUAGACAGCAAUAGCCAAUAAUAUACAUUAUACAUUACAUGGAUGAUAUCUUAUUAGCAGGGAAGGAUCCUCAGGACUUGCUUCUAAUUUAUAGAAAUUCACAGCAGGCAUUAGCUG
RNAcentral lists this long non-coding RNA (3452 nucleotides) under Mus musculus (house mouse). Its description in RNAcentral is "long non-coding RNA chr1:181026277-181029729". The record is from RNAcentral. Lineage: Eukaryota; Metazoa; Chordata; Mammalia; Rodentia; Muridae.